RNAcentral lists this ribosomal RNA (254 nucleotides) under uncultured bacterium. RNAcentral describes it as "partial 16S ribosomal RNA". It matches the Rfam family "Bacterial small subunit ribosomal RNA", at positions 524 to 776 of the family's 1533-position model. The record is from RNAcentral.
UGCGAAGGGGGCUAGCGUUGCUCGGAAUCACUGGGCGUAAAGCGCACGUAGGCGGGUUGCCAAGUCGGGGGUGAAAUCCUGGAGCUCAACUCCAGAACUGCCUUCGAUACUGGCGACCUUGGAGUCCGGGAGAGGUGAGUGGAACUGCGAGUGUAGCGGUGAAAGUCGUAGAUCUUCGCAAGAACACCAGUGGCGAAGGCGGCUCACUGGCCCGGUACUGACGCUGAGGUGCGAAAGCGUGGGGAGCAAACAGG